ACCUUGGUUUUUGUAUUCCAAUGUAAUAUGAAAGUGUCAGCCUGCUUUUCUCUUCUUUUGGAUGUAUUCCUUGGUGAAGUCAUGUGAACUUUGCUGUGAACAUUACUUGAGCAAUCUUGUCUAUAUGUGUGAUGGGUAGGAUUGGUAUUUUUGUGAGUUUUUGGUUAGUUUUUCAUUUUUAUAAUGAUAUUUUUUUUAUUUUAUUCUAAGAAUAUAAUUUGCUUUGCUAGUUGUCAGAGUGAUUUGUCCUUUUGCUGAUUUUCCUUUGUGCUCUAUUGUUCUUUUCCACGUACUUGCAAAAACAAAGAAAGUCAAAUGUUUUUAAGUUUAAGAUAAAGCUGCAGGAUUUAAAUUUAAACUCAAGACAUAAGAUAAUUAGUGGAUAGGAUGUUAUAUUUAUAAGUUUAGCUUCCACCCACCAGUUUCAGUUUAAAACUUUCCUUUUCCCCUUUAUAAUAAAUUAGAAGAAAAAAUUUACAUGACAUAUCCAAUUAAGUCGCCAUUUCAUCGAAGAAACAAUAUAGAUAAUUAAAGACUAAUAUUAGAGAGACUAAAUUUAUAGAUAAAUUUUUGAAAACUAAAGAACAUAGAAGUUGAUAAUUGAUUUAUUACUUAAACAUUGAUACACGUGCUUAUUCUUAUGGAUGACAUAUCAUUUAGUUUGUAAAUUUAGUCUUCAAAUUUAAUCUCUCUAACAUUACUCAUAAUUAAAACAAGAAAGAAUAUAUAUAGUUUUUUUGGGGAAGAAAUUUUAAACUAAUAUGUGGGUGGAAGAGCAUUUGUCCGAAACUAAAAUUUUCUUUUAUUCUUUUGAUGAUAAGCAUGUGGUGAUUGCUUCUAUUAAUUGUUCAUUUAGCUUGCAAUUUGCGAAUCGCAAAGCUUAAGAUACUAACAUUAAUGCAACUGUUUUUAUUCUUUAAUACCGGUAGUUGCAAUAGUUCAAUGCAGUAUUCCUCUAGGUAACU
This 965-nucleotide long non-coding RNA is filed under the name Malus domestica (apple). Its description in RNAcentral is "long non-coding RNA (MDOM_LNC000845)". Lineage: Eukaryota; Viridiplantae; Streptophyta; Magnoliopsida; Rosales; Rosaceae. The record is from RNAcentral.